GAGCACCUAUUAUGAGAUACACGUUUUUAAACAUCCUUUUGUGUGUAAGUUUGUAUUAGUACAUGCUAACGAUAUUCAAAAAGUACAUACCUCAAAGAAAACGAUGACGCGAGUUAUCGUCUCUAACGUUCGAGGACUACAAAAAACACUCGGAUUGUAGGCAACAGUUUACUUCCUGGGAUUGGUGACGUAGAUAAGACCAACAUUAUCAUAGUUCAGCCCUCUCUGCUUUGCUUGGGUACGCCCUCAAAGACGGGGGUGGGGAGCGCCGAGUCAGAAGAGAGCUAAAAUGGCGGAGGUUGGGAGUCCCUGCUUUGACUCUGUUUGCAAACUCUUGUUUCAUUGUUUAAGCGAUUAAAUCUCUCGAGUAGACGCUGUCUCUUUAGAUGCAAGGGCAAAAUAGCACUUUAUGGACUUACACAGAGGACAUCAUGUUUAAUACGGUUCCGGAAAAAUCCAGUCAGAAGUUCUUCACGGAGUUUUCACAAUAACUGCUUCUCAUGAACCGAAGCUGCGCGACGUCUCCUCCUGAAAGUUGGAUUACCGUGCACUUCUGGAUCACAGGCUAUUCGCAGCUGGACACAUCCUUCUAACUAACACUGUAUGCAAACAUGCAACAUCAUAACACACAGUACAAGGAGUCAGACUGGCAUAUGAGGAGCAAAGGAACCCACGCAGUAGCAUCGUUUCAAAAUGUUUCCAUCACCAUCAUCAGUGGAUGCCUUUGCCGUCCGUACCCUGAGAUUUCAGAUUUGCUGCAAAAAAUGUGACUUUCCCAUUUAUUGGAAUGCUGUGCAGCCAUCCAUUACAAUGUCACCAAGCCGUAACAAAAGCAGGAGAGGGAAAGUACAAGGCUAUGUUCCCAAAACACAAAAGUGACAUACUUUAUGUGGAUGAUGUGAUCAGGCUUGUGUUUGCUGAGGUAUUUGAAGAUAAGCUGAAGGAAACCCCGAUUCCAAUGGACCUGGCAUCACAGUUUGAGAGACCUUCAAAGGAGGACGUGAUUGCAUGCCAUCUUCAGUGCAGGGGUCGUCGGAAGCCAACAUUCCGAUCGGGAAGCUCCAAGCGUAUCUGGAGAACAACACACGACAGGAUGAUAACCCUAAAGUGUCAUCUUAGAUAGCAUCAGCUGACAAAGCUUUGAUAUGCCAUUUAUCUGAAUAGAUAGCUGUAAGAAAUGAAUUGAACAAUUUUUGAAAGAAGAGCACAAUAUGGUUACUAAAGUAUGUUUAUUUGUAUAUUGUUUAACAUUUAAAUAUAUAUUUGUAAUAAAUAAAAAACUUUUGACUGA
Long non-coding RNA from Paramisgurnus dabryanus, 1291 nucleotides. RefSeq lists it as uncharacterized. Lineage: Eukaryota; Metazoa; Chordata; Actinopteri; Cypriniformes; Cobitidae. The record is from RefSeq and is a predicted model, not a curated record.